This is a non-coding RNA of Tachyglossus aculeatus (Australian echidna), 1233 nucleotides long. NCBI's taxonomy places the organism in Eukaryota, Metazoa, Chordata, Mammalia, Monotremata, Tachyglossidae. The record is from the annotation of a RefSeq genome assembly.
AUGGGCCCCGGGCCAGUGUGGUUGGUGGCCGUUUGUGUCCUGGGAGCAGGACCCGCGGAAUCCGGAGUCACCCAGACCCCCAGGCACCUGCUGUCCCGGACGGGGAAGAAGGUGACAUUGAGCUGUGAGCAGAACGACAAUCACAAUGCCAUGUACUGGUACCGGCAGGACCCGGAACAGGGGCUGCAGCUCAUCUAUUAUUCCGUUGGAAAAGGAGAGAAGACCAAGGGAGACGUCCCGCAGGGGUAUUCAGUCUCUCGGAAGGACAAGGCGCACUUCCCCCUGACCCUGGGGUCUGCAGACAUGAACCAGUCAUCACUGUAUUUCUGCGCGAGCAGUGGGCUGCUGUGUACUAACACCCAAUACUUUGGUGAGGGCACUCGGCUCUCUGUGGUGGAUGACUUGCAAAAGGUGAAGCUCCCAAAGGUGACUCUGUUUGACCCAUCUGAGGAGGAGAUCAAUGAGUUGGGGAAGGCCACCUUGGUCUGCCUGGCCACGGGCUUCUUCCCCGACCACGUGGAGAUGAGCUGGUGGGUGGACGGCCGGGAGAUGCAGGACGGGGUCAGCACGGAUGCCCAGCCCUUGAACGAGACCGAACCCGAGGCUUCGAACAGGACCUAUGCCCUGAGCAGUCGCCUCCGCGUCUCAGCGGGGUUCUGGCAGAACCCCUCGCGCCGCUUCCGCUGCCAGGUCCGCUUCUAUGGGCUCAAGGACAGUGACACAUGGAUUGACAGCACCCGGCCCAAACCCGUCACUCAGAACAUCAGCGCUGAGACCUGGGGAAAAGCAGAUUGUGGAAUCACCGCAGCAACCUACCAGAAGAGCAUCCAGUCAGCCACCUUCCUCUACGAGAUCCUCUUGGGAAAGGCCUUGGUCUAUGCAGUGCUGGUCAGCACUCUGGUGUGGAGGGCCAAGGCCAAAAAACAUACUUUGUAAGGUGAUCACCACACCGGUCUCUCUCCCUCAGCAAAAGAAGAAGGGGGAGAUCCCUGGACAUUCCCUCCAGAACCUGGCUCUGCUCCCCUCCCCAAAGCUCCCUCACCCCCCAUCCGAGUCAUUACCCCACCUCCAGUCCUGACCCAUCUCCCAGCAGGGGCCAGCCAGCCGCCUUUCUAUCUGCCUGUCUCCCUGGCUGUCCUCUGUCCACCUGUCUGCCUGCCUGUUGUCUGUGCAUCCUCCUGCCUUUCUGUAAGGAGAGGCCAAAUCCUGACACAAUAAAGGAGCCUUGGCUGC